RNAcentral lists this ribosomal RNA (1563 nucleotides) under Echinops telfairi (small Madagascar hedgehog). RNAcentral's name for it is "16S ribosomal RNA". It matches the Rfam family "Bacterial large subunit ribosomal RNA". The record is from RNAcentral. Lineage: Eukaryota; Metazoa; Chordata; Mammalia; Afrosoricida; Tenrecidae.
UUUUGAACUAAAUCUAGCCCAACUCAAAUAGAAACUUAACCAAAUAAAACUUUAAUAUAAAACAUUUGUAGACAUAAAGUAUAGGAGAUAGAAAUAUUCCAUAGAUGCGCUAUAGAGAUAGUACCGUAAGGGAAAAAUGAAAGAUAACUUAAUAGUACCAAAAAGCAAAGCUUAAACCUUAUACCUUUUGCAUAAUGAGUAAACUAGAAAAUUUUUGACAAAGGGAACUUUAGCCAAAAACCCCGAAACCAGACGAGCUACCCUAGAGCAAUCUUGUUGGAUCAACUCAUCUAUGUGGCAAAAUAGUGAGAAGACUUUAAGGUAAGAGGUGAAAAGCCAACCGAGCCUGGUGAUAGCUGGUUGCCCAAGAAAGAAUUUAAGUUCGACCUAAAAAUUACUACCAAUAACUAUAAAUUUAAUGUAAUUUUUAGUUAUAAUUAAAAGAGGUACAGCUCUUUUAAUUGAGGAAACAACCUUAUUUAGAGAGUAAACACCAAAUAAUUUCAUAGUUGGCCUAAAAGCAGCCACCAAUUAAGACAGCGUUAAAGCUCAACAAUUUAUUUCUCUAGAUUCCAUUAAUUCAAUUCUACUCCUAAAUUUAUAUUGGGCAAAUCUAUUCUUAUAUAGAAGCUAAUCUGUUAACAUAAGUAACAAGAGAAUAAAUCUCUCCCCGCACAAGUAUAUAUCAGAACGAAUACUCGCUGAUAAUUAACAACCUAGUAAUUAUACAAACUCUAGACUAUUAUAUUUACGCUUGUUAACCCGACACAGGAGUGCACUCUAAAGGAAAGAUAAAAAGAAGUAAAAGGAACUCGGCAAACUAAAAUCCCGCCUGUUUACCAAAAACAUCACCUCUAGCAUUACUAGUAUUAGAGGCACUGCCUGCCCAGUGACCCAUGUUUAACGGCCGCGGUACUCUGACCGUGCAAAGGUAGCAUAACAUUUGUUCUCUAAAUAAGGACUUGUAUGAAUGGCAACACGAGGAUUUAACUGUCUCUUACUUCUUAUCAGUGAAAUUGACCUCCCCGUGAAGAGGCGGGGAUUAGAACAUAAGACGAGAAGACCCUAUGGAGCUUAAAUUAAUAACCCAAUUGUUUCUCACAAAACCAAAAGGCAUAACUAUAACUAUAUGGAGAAAGAUUUCGGUUGGGGUGACCUCGGAGCAUAAUUAAACCUCCGAAUGAUAUAUACAUCUAGACCUACAAGUCGCAAUUAAAAUCACUUAUUGACCCAAUUACUUGAACAACGGACCAAGUUACCCUAGGGAUAACAGCGCAAUCCUAUUUAAGAGUUCAUAUCGACGAUAGGGUUUACGACCUCGAUGUUGGAUCAGGACACCCAGAUGGUGCAACAGCUAUCAAAGGUUCGUUUGUUCAACGAUUAAAGUCCUACGUGAUCUGAGUUCAGACCGGAGCAAUCCAGGUCGGUUUCUAUCUAUUUUAUUAAUCUCUCCUAGUACGAAAGGACCAUGAGAGAUAAGGCCAACUUCUAACCAGCGCCUUAACCAAACCAAUGAUAUAAUCUUAAUUUACCUAUAUCCAUUUCUGCUCUAGAUAAGAGCUU